Molecule: unclassified non-coding RNA, 362 nt
Filed under: uncultured Cadophora
Lineage: Eukaryota; Fungi; Ascomycota; Leotiomycetes; Helotiales
Description: sequence contains ITS2
Rfam family: 5.8S ribosomal RNA (bases 1-154)
Source: RNAcentral
AACUUUUAACAAUGGAUCACUUGGUUCUGGCAUCGAUGAAGAACGCAGCGAAAUGCGAUAAGUAAUGUGAAUUGCAGAAUUCAGUGAAUCAUCGAAUCUUUGAACGCACAUUGCGCCCCGUGGUAUUCCGCGGGGCAUGCCUGUUCGAGCGUCAGUACAACACUCAAGCUCUGCUUGGUAUUGGGCCCUGCCGGCAACGGCAGGCCUUAAAAUCAGUGGCGGCGCCAUCUGGCUCUAAGCGUAGUAAUACUCCUCGCUACAGAGUCCCGGUGGAUGCUUGCCAGCAACCCCCAACUUCUAAGUUUGACCUCGGAUCAGGUAGGGAUACCCGCUGAACUUAAGCAUAUCAAUAAGCGGAGGCU